Molecule: ribosomal RNA, 433 nt
Filed under: uncultured bacterium
Lineage: Bacteria
Description: partial 16S ribosomal RNA
Rfam family: Bacterial small subunit ribosomal RNA
Source: RNAcentral
AACGAACGCUGGCGGCAUGCCUAACACAUGCAAGUCGAACGAGACCUUCGGGUCUAGUGGCGCACGGGUGCGUAACGCGUGGGAACCUGCCCUUAGGUUCGGAAUAACUCCCCGAAAGGGGUGCUAAUACCGGAUAAUGUCUUCGGACCAAAGAUUUAUCGCCUUUGGAUGGGCCCGCGUUGGAUUAGCUAGUUGGUAGGGUAAAAGCCUACCAAGGCGACGAUCCAUAGCUGGUCUGAGAGGAUGAUCAGCCACACUGGGACUGAGACACGGCCCAGACUCCUACGGGAGGCAGCAGUAGGGAAUAUUGGACGAUGAGCGAAAGCCUGAUCCAGCAGUGCCGCGUGAGUGAUGAAGGCCUUAGGAUUGUAAAGCUCUUUUACCCGGGAUGAUAAUGACAGUACCGGGAGAAUAAGCACCGGCUAACUCCGUG